AAUAGAUACCCAGGUAGUCCACGCCGUAAACGAUGAGUGCUAAGUGUUAGGGGGUUUCCGCCCCUUAGUGCUGCAGCUAACGCAUUAAGCACUCCGCCUGGGGAGUACGGCCGCAAGGCUGAAACUCAAAGGAAUUGACGGGGGCCCGCACAAGCGGUGGAGCAUGUGGUUUAAUUCGAAGCAACGCGAAGAACCUUACCAGGUCUUGACAUCCUCUGACACACCUAGAGAUAGGUCUUCCCCUUCGGGGGACAGAGUGACAGGUGGUGCAUGGUUGUCGUCAGCUCGUGUCGUGAGAUGUUGGGUUAAGUCCCGCAACGAGCGCAACCCUUGAGAUUAGUUGCCAGCAUUCAGUUGGGCACUCUAAUCUGACUGCCGGUGACAAACCGGAGGAAGGUGGGGAUGACGUCAAAUCAUCAUGCCCCUUAUGACCUGGGCUACACACGUGCUACAAUGGAUGGUACAAAGGGCUGCGAAACCGCAAGGUGAAGCCAAUCCCAUAAAACCAUUCUCAGUUCGGAUUGCA
Molecule: ribosomal RNA, 526 nt
Filed under: uncultured bacterium
Lineage: Bacteria
Description: bacterial SSU rRNA
Rfam family: Bacterial small subunit ribosomal RNA
Source: RNAcentral